RNAcentral lists this long non-coding RNA (518 nucleotides) under Solanum tuberosum (potato). Its description in RNAcentral is "long non-coding RNA (STUB_LNC002815)". The record is from RNAcentral. Lineage: Eukaryota; Viridiplantae; Streptophyta; Magnoliopsida; Solanales; Solanaceae.
UUUAUUUAUUUACAAGACUAGGAAAACAUAUUCAUACUAGUUCAUACAAACGACAUAAGUAAAAUAUAUUUACAUUAUUACAGACCCAUCACCUAUCAGGUGAUCUAUUUUUCCUUCGGGAUUCUCAAAGAAAUCUGCUAUAUCUAGAUGCAUGGGUUCAACAUUAUCUUCAGAGAUAAAGUUGGCUUCUGCGUUAUUUUUCACUUCCUUCAGGAAGCUUGAUACAGCUCAACCAGGUGCCUUGGCGUACGACAGGUACGUGACCAAUGCCCUUUUCCACCACAACGAUAACAUUUGUUGUCUGAAUUUUUCUUCUGCACCACUUCAUGCUUUUCAUCAUUCUUUUUACACUGCUGGUGGUGAAGGUUAUUAUUUAGUGCAAGACGAUCACCAUGAUUGAAAUUUCUUCCUCGACCACGGCCACGGCCACGACUGGGGCCACGACCUUUUCCACGCUUAAAUUGGUGAAAAUUUGUCUUAUUUACUUCAGGAAAUGACAUAGAACCAGUAGGUCGACU